Molecule: transfer RNA, 67 nt
Filed under: Hydroporus sanfilippoi
Lineage: Eukaryota; Metazoa; Arthropoda; Insecta; Coleoptera; Dytiscidae
Description: tRNA-His
Source: RNAcentral
AUUUAAGUAGUUUAAUUUAAAAUUUUGAUUUGUGAUAUCAAUAAUGUAAUAUUUAUUACCUUAAAUU